GAGAUGGAGUCUCGCACUGUCACCCGGGCUGGAGUGCGAGUGCAGUGGUGUGAUCUUGGCUCACUGCAAGCUCCACCUUCCAGGCUCAAGCAAUUCUCCUGCCUCAGCCUCCUGAGUAGCUGGGAUUACAGGCGCCCACCACCACGCCAGGCUAAUUUUUUGUAUUUUUAGUAGAAACGGGUUUCAUUAUGUUGGCCAGGCUGGUCUUGAACGCCUGACCUCGUAUCCACCCGCCUCAGCCUCCCAAAGUGCUGGGAUUACAAGCAUGAGCCACCACGCCCAGCCCAUAAUUUAUUGAUUUUUUAAAAUUUGUCCAGCCUUCUAUCACCACGUCGAACCCAUUAGCUACAGCCAUCCCAUGAGAAGCUGAGUGGAUUCAGCCCCACCUCCUGCUCACAGACCCUGUCCGAGCACCUCAUUCGUCCCAACAGCGUCACUGCAGGACCCCCAGGACGUUGGACUGCCAGCUCCCUGGGUCUCCUCCUCUCUGGGGCAGAUCCUCAGUCCUCCCUUGACUUCACGACUAUGGCCAGAUCAUGUGUGGACUGUCCCUCUCUUUGGGUCUCCAGAGCGCUUGCAUCAAACACCCCUAACUCAGAAGUGUGCAGCCACACUGGGACUCAGAACCCAACAACAGGGACAGAAGACUCACGCCCUUGGGGUGCCCGGUCUCGUGGCAUCAGGCAUGACUUCCAGCUCCUGCGCCUUCCCCAGCAACUGCUGACUGGGGACCCAGACCGGGAGCUGAGCGACGGGCCUGGCGAGCGAAGCUCGGGGUCUCACUCAGGCACCAGCCCCUCCUUGCCCCAGGCCCUUGGCACAGCCCUAUUCAGGCAGGAGCUGCUCUUCUGGGGUAUCGCGAUCCACUUAAGGAUGAGGCAGACUUGGUGACAAGCUGGUCUGAGCAGGUAUGGGAGCCCCCUG
RNAcentral lists this long non-coding RNA (924 nucleotides) under Pan troglodytes (chimpanzee). RNAcentral's name for it is "long non-coding RNA NONPTRT018572". The record is from RNAcentral. Lineage: Eukaryota; Metazoa; Chordata; Mammalia; Primates; Hominidae.